Molecule: small nuclear RNA, 98 nt
Filed under: Peromyscus maniculatus bairdii (prairie deer mouse)
Lineage: Eukaryota; Metazoa; Chordata; Mammalia; Rodentia; Cricetidae
Source: RNAcentral
GUGCCCAAUACCAAUGCACAUACACUAAAACUGGAGUGAGAUUAGCAUGGCCCCUGUGUAAGGAUGACAUGCAAAUUGGUGAUGUAUUUGUAUUUUUA